UACGGAGGGUGCAAACGUUGCUCGGAAUCAUUGGGCGUAAAGCGCACGUAGGCGGUUCUGCAAGUCGGGUGUGAAAUCCCUCGGCUUAACCAAGGAAGUGCAUUCGAAACUGCAGGACUUGAGUACUGGAGAGGAUCGCGGAAUUCUCGGUGUAGAGGUGAAAUUCGUAGAUAUCGGGAGGAACACCAGUGGCGAAGGCGGCGAUCUGGUCAGAUACUGACGCUGAGGUGCGAAAGCGUGGGGAGCAAACAGG
This 253-nucleotide ribosomal RNA is filed under the name uncultured bacterium. Its description in RNAcentral is "partial 16S ribosomal RNA". It matches the Rfam family "Bacterial small subunit ribosomal RNA", at positions 524 to 776 of the family's 1533-position model. The record is from RNAcentral.